CCUCAUCACAUGAUCUUCACUGUCCCAACUGUACGGCGCACUCGCAUGUGUUCAGCAUCUCCUGAAUCAGGCCCACGACCUGGCGCUCAGCCACCUGGUGGUUCAUCUCGAUGAUCUCGAGCAGCUCAGCCUGACUUCUCUGGAUAGCGCUGACCAGGGUGCUGAAGACCUGCAGGCUGCCCAGCAUUUCUGUCUCUGUAGAUUCCUGAUCAGGAACAUGAGGGAUGGGCCAGAAGAACAGCUCCACGCACUGCUGGUGCUUCUGGUUCAGUGUUGUGUGCAGGCAGUCUGACCCGCCCAACGUGAACCUCCUUAGAGCCAACCGAGAACCUGAGGCUUGAACCAGGAGUUCCUGGGCCUCGUCUGGGACC
Paramormyrops kingsleyae is the source of this 371-nucleotide long non-coding RNA. RefSeq lists it as uncharacterized. NCBI's taxonomy places the organism in Eukaryota, Metazoa, Chordata, Actinopteri, Osteoglossiformes, Mormyridae. The record is from RefSeq and is a predicted model, not a curated record.